RNAcentral lists this ribosomal RNA (118 nucleotides) under Mastacembelus armatus (zig-zag eel). The record is from RNAcentral. Lineage: Eukaryota; Metazoa; Chordata; Actinopteri; Synbranchiformes; Mastacembelidae.
UGAGGCAGCUAAACCUCCUGAGAGUGCCUGAUCUUGUUAGAUCUUGGAAGCUAAGCAGGGCAGGGCCUAUCUAGUACUUGGAUGGGAGUAUGUCUUGGAGGACCAGGGCUUGCUAGAU